Molecule: ribosomal RNA, 114 nt
Filed under: Carlito syrichta (Philippine tarsier)
Lineage: Eukaryota; Metazoa; Chordata; Mammalia; Primates; Tarsiidae
Source: RNAcentral
GUCUAUGGCUGUACCACACUGAAUUCGCCUGAUCUUGUCUGAUCUUGGAAGCUAAGCGGAUUUGGAUGGGCUAGUACUUGGAUGGAAGACAGAUCAGUAGGGUAACUAUAGUUU